Long non-coding RNA from Pseudopipra pipra, 890 nucleotides. RefSeq lists it as uncharacterized. The transcript is spliced from 4 exons. Lineage: Eukaryota; Metazoa; Chordata; Aves; Passeriformes; Pipridae. The record is from RefSeq and is a predicted model, not a curated record.
CCGGACGCCUCUGGCAGGACUAACCUUGUGGCUUUUAUGUCCAACGUGCUGUGCUGUGUGUGCCUGCAGUAUCUUGUCCAAGACAAAGCUACCUUUCCUCGUGGGAAUGGACUGGGCGGGCUUUGACAAUCUGGCCCCUCGAAAGUCUUAAGUGACCUCUUCCAACAGGGGAAGACUGAAGCAAGCGGUGCCAGAAAGAACUGGAGUUUCUGGAGAAUAAAAGCUGGAAGCGUGCCCCCGAAAAUCCCCCCGGGUGGUCAGUGGUCUGACUUGCACGGACCGGUGGCCUUGGCCAGGAGCGGUCCUGCGGGAAGUGCCUUUGCCCAGCCUGUAAUUUUAAUUUCCAUUGGAUGCUUGGCAAAGCCCCCCAGUGCCUGGCAGGAGCAGAGCGGGCUUCCAGGGAGGUAUUCACCUGGUCAGCGUCAGGAACCAUCCUAACUGAGGCCUCGGCUCCCUCUUUCCCUUCGGUUGCCGUGUGUGUGCCAGACACCUCUGGCAGGACUAACCCUGUGGCUUUUAUGUCCAAUGUGCUGUGCUGUGUGCCUGCAGAAUUGCCACGAGAGGAAAUACUUCAGAGGGGCUUCCCUCCAGCUAAGCCCUGAAUAUGCCAGGAGGUUUCAGCCGGGAGGAAAGGAGCUGUGGAAGAAAAGCAGCCUAAAAAUAGCCAGCGGGGAUCAUCAGGUUUUCCAGGCAAGAAGAACAAGGAGAGAGAUGAGGGAAUCGGGUUCCAAUUCCUAAUGAUUUGGUGGGUGCAGGAAUGAUUUGUGUGUGUUUUCCAGUCCCUUUUGAUUCCUGAGAUGAUUUUAAAAUGAUGGCUUUAGCAAUCAACUAAAUCGGGGAUGUUGUUUUUGAGAGGAAAUGAUGCCAAAUAAAUGCAGAGUUUUGGGUCA